GACGGAGGGUGCUAGCGUUGUUCGGAAUUACUGGGCGUAAAGCGCACGUAGGCGGAUCGAUCAGUCAGGGGUGAAAUCCCAGAGCUCAACUCUGGAACUGCCUUUGAUACUGUCGAUCUGGAGUAUGGAAGAGGUGAGUGGAAUUCCGAGUGUAGAGGUGAAAUUCGUAGAUAUUCGGAGGAACACCAGUGGCGAAGGCGGCUCACUGGUCCAUUACUGACGCUGAGGUGCGAAAGCGUGGGGAGCAAACAGG
RNAcentral lists this ribosomal RNA (253 nucleotides) under uncultured bacterium. Its description in RNAcentral is "partial 16S ribosomal RNA". It matches the Rfam family "Bacterial small subunit ribosomal RNA", at positions 524 to 776 of the family's 1533-position model. The record is from RNAcentral.